GCCUUCGUGGUGUAGUGGUCAGUACGCUCGACGCGUAACCGAGAGGUCCGUGGUUCGAUUCCCGGCGAAGGCG
This is a non-coding RNA of Stegodyphus mimosarum, 73 nucleotides long. NCBI's taxonomy places the organism in Eukaryota, Metazoa, Arthropoda, Arachnida, Araneae, Eresidae. The record is from Rfam.